Molecule: long non-coding RNA, 493 nt
Organism: Myotis brandtii (Brandt's bat)
Lineage: Eukaryota; Metazoa; Chordata; Mammalia; Chiroptera; Vespertilionidae
Exons: 4
Source: RefSeq, a predicted model, not a curated record
CCCACCACCAGGGAAAGAAAAGGAGGAUAAGAAUGUAGACAAGUGCUGAGAGAAUCACUAACAACUAAAGUUACAUCUAACACCUCGGAAGUUCCUGGCACAGAGCAGAAAUUCAAUAAAUACUUGCUGUAUGAUAGAAAGAUGGAUGAAGCGAUGCAAGAAAUCAGCUGCCAUGUCAUCAUGACAUCCAAGCAACCCUAUGGAGAUACUUCUGAUCAACAGUCAACAGGGAACUGAGGCCUCUUGCCAAUACUCAUUUUUUUGCAGAACAGAAUGCAGGCGUUCGCCAACGAGAAGGUGGGAGAGAUCUAUCUGGCCUUGGAUUCAGAACGUAGAGACACCUAUGUCACCAGAAUCUUUGAGACCCCGGGUAGAUGCCCCGACGACGUCCCCUCUCAGCAGGAAGUAGCUACAGAAGACGGACCUUCCCCCCCCUCACCUUGCCCGGACUCUCAAUUUUUUUUCACUAUUACCAAAAGCCUGGAAUGAUAGA